RNAcentral lists this ribosomal RNA (111 nucleotides) under uncultured eukaryote. Its description in RNAcentral is "partial small subunit ribosomal RNA". It matches the Rfam family "Eukaryotic small subunit ribosomal RNA", at positions 1676 to 1785 of the family's 1831-position model. The record is from RNAcentral.
UCGCUACUACCGAUUGAACGGCUUAGUGAGUUACAGGGACCGAAAUUGUUGUGGGGUUUCCCAUUUCAGUCUUGUGGAACUGUAUCAAACUUGAUCGUUUAGAGGAAGUAA